AUUGAACGCUGGCGGAAUGCUUUACACAUGCAAGUCGAACGGCAGCACGGGGCAACCUGGUGGCGAGUGGCGAACGGUGAGUAAUACAUCGGAACGUGCCCAAUCGUGGGGGAUAACGUAGCGAAAGUUACGCUAAUACCGCAUACGAUCUACGGAUGAAAGCGGGGGAUCGCAAGACCUCGCGCGAAUGGAGCGGCCGAUGUCAGAUUAGGUAGUUGGUGGGGUAAAGGCUCACCAAGCCAACGAUCUGUAGCUGGUCUGAGAGGACGACCAGCCACACUGGAACUGAGACACGGUCCAGACUCCUACGGGAGGCAGCAGUGGGGAAUUUUGGACAAUGGGCGCAAGCCUGAUCCAGCCAUUCCGCGUGCAGGAUGAAGGCCUUCGGGUUGUAACU
This 397-nucleotide ribosomal RNA is filed under the name uncultured bacterium. RNAcentral describes it as "bacterial SSU rRNA". It matches the Rfam family "Bacterial small subunit ribosomal RNA", at positions 30 to 431 of the family's 1533-position model. The record is from RNAcentral.